This 148-nucleotide non-coding RNA is filed under the name Pan troglodytes (chimpanzee). Lineage: Eukaryota; Metazoa; Chordata; Mammalia; Primates; Hominidae. The record is from Rfam by way of RNAcentral.
GCUGGGCGUGGUGGUGGGCGCCUGUAAUCCCAGCUACUAGGGAGGCUGAGGCAGGAGAAUCACUUGAACCCAGGAGGCUGAGGUUGCGGUGAGCCGAGAUUGCUCCACUGCACUCCAGCCUGGGCGAUAGAGUGAGACUCCGUCUCAA